Molecule: transfer RNA, 76 nt
Filed under: Alphaproteobacteria bacterium
Lineage: Bacteria; Pseudomonadati; Pseudomonadota; Alphaproteobacteria
Also listed under: 2 other names
Description: tRNA-Ala
Rfam family: tRNA
About the family: Transfer RNA (tRNA) molecules are approximately 80 nucleotides in length.
Source: RNAcentral
GGGGCCAUAGCUCAGUUGGGAGAGCGCUACAAUGGCAUUGUAGAGGUCGCCGGUUCGAUCCCGGCUGGCUCCACCA